This 1874-nucleotide long non-coding RNA is filed under the name Salmo salar (Atlantic salmon). Its description in RNAcentral is "lncRNA (ENSSSAG00000117987.1)". Lineage: Eukaryota; Metazoa; Chordata; Actinopteri; Salmoniformes; Salmonidae. The record is from RNAcentral.
GUUUUUAUUCCAGAAAAAAUGACUAGGCCUAGCGAAUGCCUACAUACAGUAACCUAUGCUUGUCUAUGUGUAUAAUCUUUGAGACUACAAUAUAAUUCCGAUGUCCAUGGCCUCCACCUAUCCAACCCUUUCCACAUCAUCAGACGAAGGAGGGGCAUAUGUUAUGUCACCAAUUAGUUUGUGACGGGGCAAAAAAAUGACGGUAUAUAGGCCUAUAUCAAACACAAUACAUUUUGCUCUACAGUUUGUAGUUAAUUAUCGCAGUCAUUUAUUGUUUUUCUUUUUAGGAGUGGUUGGUAGGCUAUAGAAUUGUGCAGCUCAUGCUCUAUCCACGACAAUUGUCCCGUUAUCUUAUGAUGCCUGGGCGCUCGAACUGGAGCCCUUGGGUGAGGCUUCCAAAAUUGUACAGAUUGAAUUUCGAACGUUUAAGUCAUUCACCAUAAAGAUGAGAUGCUGGUGUUGCUGGACUCCUUAAUGGAAAAGAAAGACCACGAAGAUGACCUUACAUACCAGUAAGGAGGAAGGAUCUUGGUUUGUGUUUAGCCCUCUCCCUUUCCAGAUUCUUUAGGCUGGACCAGAUGCAGACGAGGGCCAUUCCUUUGCCAUGCUGGUGCUACAGGGGACUGUCUGUGAUGUCUCAAUCGGUGGUGUCUGGCUCCACCGUGGGAAGCAGAUGACUUUGAGCUGUAGGACCAGUGGCUGGAGGAUGUGCAAGCAAGUGAUGGCAGAUGGAAGGACCAUCAAAGCAAGGGAUUGAAAAGGCAUUGCGGAGGACCAGAGGAUCAAAGCCCUGGUCUAUUGACCAAUCCUUUCUAACACGAUGUCGAGUACAAAUCUAUUAUUGAGAUGAGUAGCUCAGCCAAUAAAAGUAAAAUCACUAUUAACAAUUCGUCCUGUUCAUAGCAGUGAAAAUGUUUACAUUAUUUGUUAUAAACAGAUUGUUUUUGAUUCAAUUCUGUCACAUACAGUAUUAGUCAUGUUUAUGGAAAUGCAAAAAGGUUAGUGCAAUCAGGACUAUGUGUGACCUGUGGAUUUGCUGCCAAGUUUAUACUACACUUAUGUGGGAAAUAAAGUACUGUUUUGAUCCUGAACUUCUGUUCCUUAUCUCCUCGUGCUUUUGAAUGGCAUCAUACAAUUAGGAUACCUCCUUUUAACCACUUCAAGUGUUAUUGGAUCGGCUGUUGGCAGUUAUGAAUGGUCAGCAGCAACACUUAGAUUUCAUCAUGUUCAGCGGAUAUUCUCAUGCUUCCCAAGUGACAGCAAAUCAGGUAAGCGGCGGAGUGGAUUCAAACUCUGAAUUUUGAUAUCACCAGGUGAAAGUUGCGUUGGUCUAUAGCUAAUCAAGUGUGGAUUUUUCUUUAAAUAUCUUCAAUAGCCUUGUAUUACUUAUAAUGUGUUCAUUUUAGGGUAUAACAUUUUUUAUUGCAGAAUAUUGAUAUGAUUAUUAGAAAUGUUAAUAUACUGUAGUUGCCCAACAAUAUCUCCAAUUGUAUGUCAGGAUGUUAUGUUUGGAUGAUCAGCAUCCUGAGUAUAUUAUGUAAUUUAUAUGUUCCUGUGGGAAAUGGCUCACAUGAUUGAACUAUUCACAGCUCAUUAGAAAUAAAAGUACUGAGGGGUUUCCAUCUGGUUGUUAAUGUUUUGAGUUGGUGUCUUUGAAUGGGGAGCUAAUUUGGUUGCUUUCCUGGACCUCUGCUGGAGCUCUUUCUCUCUGCCAGGGCAUCUUCAGUCCUCUCAGCAAGGAUCUAUGAAUCAAGUUUCCACCAACUUAUAGUCAUUGAAUCAUUGGAAUCACGUGUGAUGAAUGUGCUUUUGUGCUUGUGUUUAAAUGUCAAGCUCAGACUCAAAGUCUGAACCAGGGUUCCCCAACUGGCGGC